Molecule: ribosomal RNA, 430 nt
Filed under: Chloroflexota bacterium
Lineage: Bacteria; Bacillati; Chloroflexota
Also listed under: 1 other name
Description: Chloroflexi bacterium partial 16S ribosomal RNA
Rfam family: Bacterial small subunit ribosomal RNA
Source: RNAcentral
UAGGGAAUCUUCGGCAAUGGACGCAAGUCUGACCGAGCAACGCCGCGUGAGUGAAGAAGGUUUUCGGAUCGUAAAACUCUGUUGUUAGAGAAGAACAAGGAUGAGAGUAGAACGUUCAUCCCUUGACGGUAUCUAACCAGAAAGCCACGGCUAACUACGUGCCAGCAGCCGCGGUAAUACGUAGGUGGCAAGCGUUGUCCGGAUUUAUUGGGCGUAAAGCGAGCGCAGGCGGUUUCUUAAGUCUGAUGUGAAAGCCCCCGGCUCAACCGGGGAGGGUCAUUGGAAACUGGGAAACUUGAGUGCAGAAGAGGAGAGUGGAAUUCCAUGUGUAGCGGUGAAAUGCGUAGAUAUAUGGAGGAACACCAGUGGCGAAGGCGGCUCUCUGGUCUGUAACUGACGCUGAGGCUCGAAAGCGUGGGGAGCAAACAGG